This 23-nucleotide non-coding RNA is filed under the name Arabidopsis thaliana (thale cress). Lineage: Eukaryota; Viridiplantae; Streptophyta; Magnoliopsida; Brassicales; Brassicaceae. The record is from RNAcentral.
UAAGAGAUAUGAGCCACUCCACU